CUAAGACAAUUCCCAACUGAAUAGUUGUCUUAUUUUUCUCCACAAGUCCCCUCGGCCACCCUCCCCCACCGAGUUAUUCCAGCGAUUCUGGUGUACCGUUGUGGAAUAACACCGAUAUACGUUGGUAAGGGCGUCACAGCGAGAAGCAUCACAAGAUGAAAAAUUAAUCCUCGAGAUGAUCUGAUGAAUGUACAAAUUAUCAGCCCUGGUAUUUUGGGGACAAUGAUGAUGGAUGGGGUGGUAGAGCAUCUGGAGGAAGGUGGAGAUUGUUUGAGAUCGUUGGCUAAUUUGGUCUGAUGACAUGUCUCCAGACAUCUUCGAAGAACUUGAAGAAAUAUUGAAUAACCCUUUUGCUGGAGUUAUUAGAGGAAUAAUGGGUUUUGUUACACUUUUCCCACAGGAUUGGUAACUUUAGACGCAGUAGGGCGUCAUACCGAGAAAUAUCACGAGUUCAGGAAUUAAUAUUAGCAAUAUUUUGAUGAAUGCAAAGACGUAGCUCUCGUGGGGAUAUUAAUCAGGCUUUUGACUUGUUGAUUACCAACUUUUUAAGCUGUUGGGUUACGCUUUUCUCGCAGCAGGGCGUCACAUCGAGAAACAUUACGACUUCAGGGAUUAAUCCUUGACAUGUUUAGGGGAAUGAGAAGACGAUUGGACAUUACGAUGACGUUGACAAUGAAUUUGAACGAGGCUAUAACUUCAGCAACAGAAAAUUCAACUCAAUUGAAUCCAGAAGUCUACAAAUAGUUUUAAGUCAUGCGCCAAUUCAUUAUCAUGACACGUCUCCAAACACCUCUGAAGGACUUAAAAGACCAUCGAAUGUUACUUUAUAUUACGAAUCAUUUCCUGGAGACAUCAAUUAGGAAAAUAAUCGGCCUCGAACUCGUUUCGGUUUUCGACUUCCUGACGGUCAAGUUUCUACGCUUUUAAGUUGGUUUUUAUUGGUCCGGGGGAAGCUGAGGCCAAUUAGGAUGGUGAUUUAGUUGGCUACGGCCUCCGGGAGCUUCCGGUUUUCUUGCCCAUCGUGACAUGAUUUAAAGACAUGGAAAGUUCAUGCGAAACACGGCAGUUUGUCGAGGGUCAGUUGCAUGACAUCUCGUGGGGUUUUGUGAAAAAAAAAAAAAGAAAAUUAUGUAUCACGAGACUACACAGGCGUUCAUAUUGGUCAAUGUGAAUUGAGAUUAAGUCGUGUUCUCGAGAAAUGGUUUGAAUGGAAUAAUGGGAUGAUUAAAUGGAUUAAUUCCUAAGUUUUAAGCAGAAAUUUUUGCUCUGAUAUGAAUAUUUAGUGUAGGAAUUAUCACUGCCCCGAAUUUUUUACCGACAGGAAAAUUCUGUAAUGUGAGUGAAUAAAACAAUCACGCAAAAAUCAGAUAAAAUGUUUAAACAAUGCAUUUCCCUAGCCGCAAGACGAUGAGGAACCGGUAAUUUGUCCUCGGUGAAGUUUUGUCA
Molecule: long non-coding RNA, 1446 nt
Organism: Diachasmimorpha longicaudata
Lineage: Eukaryota; Metazoa; Arthropoda; Insecta; Hymenoptera; Braconidae
Exons: 3
Source: RefSeq, a predicted model, not a curated record